Molecule: ribosomal RNA, 238 nt
Filed under: uncultured bacterium
Lineage: Bacteria
Description: partial 16S ribosomal RNA
Rfam family: Bacterial small subunit ribosomal RNA
Source: RNAcentral
CGGAACGGGUGAGUAACGCGUGAGGAACCUGCCUCAAAGAGGGGGACAACAGUUGGAAACGACUGCUAAUACCGCAUAAGCCCACAGGUCGGCAUCGACCAGAGGGAAAAGGAGCAAUCCGCUUUGAGAUGGCCUCGCGUCCGAUUAGCUAGUUGGUGAGGUAACGGCCCACCAAGGCAACGAUCGGUAGCCGGACUGAGAGGUUGAACGGCCACAUUGGGACUGAGACACGGCCCAG